AGUGAACGCUGGCGGUAGGCCUAACACAUGCAAGUCGAACGGCAGCACAGUAAGAGCUUGCUCUUACGGGUGGCGAGUGGCGGACGGGUGAGGAAUACAUCGGAAUCUACUUUUUCGUGGGGGAUAACGGAGGGACACUCACGCUAAUACCGUAUACGACCUACGGGUGAAAGCAGGGGAUCUUCGGACCUUGCGCGAUUGAAUGAGCCGAUGUCGGAUUAGCUAGUUGGCGGGGUAAAGGCCCACCAAGGCGACGAUCCGUAGCUGGUCUGAGAGGAUGAUCAGCCACACUGGAACUGAGACACGGUCCAGACUCCUACGGGAGGCAGCAGUGGGGAAUAUUGGACAAUGGGCGCAAGCCUGAUCCAGCCAUACCGCGUGGGUGAAGAAGGCCUUCGGGUUGUAAAGCCCUUUUGUUGGGAAAGAAAAGCAGCAGGUUAAUACCCCGCUGUUCUGACGGUACCCAAAGAAUAAGCACCGGCUAACUUCGUG
RNAcentral lists this ribosomal RNA (492 nucleotides) under uncultured bacterium. Its description in RNAcentral is "partial 16S ribosomal RNA". It matches the Rfam family "Bacterial small subunit ribosomal RNA", at positions 29 to 507 of the family's 1533-position model. The record is from RNAcentral.